CCUACGGGAGGCAGCAGUGGGGAAUUUUGCGCAAUGGGGGCAACCCUGACGCAGCAACGCCGCGUGAGUGAUGAAGGCCUUCGGGUCGUAAAGCUCUGUCAGAGGGGAAGAAAUGCAGGUGGUGAACAACCAUUCUGUUUGACGGUACCCUCAAAGGAAGCACCGGCUAACUCCGUGCCAGCAGCCGCGGUAAUACGGAGGGUGCAAGCGUUGUUCGGAAUUAUUGGGCGUAAAGCGCGUGUAGGCGGUUUGUUAAGUCGGAUGUAAAAGCCCCGGGCUCAACCGGGAAAGUGCAUUGGAUACUGGCAGACUUGAGUACGGGAGAGGAGAGUGGAAUUCCCGGUGUAGAGGUGAAAUUCGUAGAUAUCGGGAGGAACACCGGUGGCGAAGGCGACUCUCUGGCCCGAUACUGACGCUGAGACGCGAAAGCGUGGGGAGCAAACAGGAUUAGAUACCCCUGUAGU
Molecule: ribosomal RNA, 464 nt
Filed under: uncultured Geobacteraceae bacterium
Lineage: Bacteria; Pseudomonadati; Thermodesulfobacteriota; Desulfuromonadia; Geobacterales; Geobacteraceae
Description: partial 16S ribosomal RNA
Rfam family: Bacterial small subunit ribosomal RNA
Source: RNAcentral